CAGUCGCCGCGGUAAAACGGAGGGGGCUAGCGUUGUUCGGAAUUACUGGGCGUAAAGCGCACGUAGGCGGCUUGGUAAGUUAGAGGUGAAAGCCCGGAGCUCAACUCCGGAAUUGCCUUUAAGACUGCCGAGCUAGUAGGUGAGAGAGGUAAGUGGAAUUCCGAGUGUAGAGGUGAAAUUCGUAGAUAUUCGGAAGAACACCAGUGGCGAAGGCGGCUUACUGGCUCAUUCUAGACGCUGAGGUGCGAAAGCGUGGGGAGCAAACAGGAUUAGAUACCCCAGUAGUCCCUGUCUCUUAUAC
Molecule: ribosomal RNA, 301 nt
Filed under: uncultured bacterium
Lineage: Bacteria
Description: partial 16S ribosomal RNA
Rfam family: Bacterial small subunit ribosomal RNA
Source: RNAcentral